Molecule: ribosomal RNA, 910 nt
Filed under: Malenchus undulatus
Lineage: Eukaryota; Metazoa; Nematoda; Chromadorea; Rhabditida; Tylenchidae
Description: SSU rRNA
Rfam family: Eukaryotic small subunit ribosomal RNA
Source: RNAcentral
UGGCCGGCGAGAUUUAUUUGAACAAAUCAGAGUGCUCAACACAGGCGUCUCGCCUGAAUGUUCGUGCAUGGAAUAAUAGAAAAGGAUCACGGUCCUAUUUUAUUUGGUUUGCGGACUGAGGUAAUGGUUAACAGAGACAAACGGGGGCAUUCGUAUCGCUGCGUGAGAGGUGAAAUUCUUGGACCGCAGCGAGACGCACGACAGAGAAAGCAUUUGCCAAGCAUGUCUUCAUUAAUCAAGAACGAAAGUCAGAGGUUCGAAGGCGAUCAGAUACCGCCCUAGUUCUGACCGUAAACGAUGCCAACUAGCGAUCCGCCGGCGGAUUUCUCGCCCUGGUGGGGAGCUCCCGGAAACGAAAGUCUUCCGGUUCCGGGGGAAGUAUGGUUGCAAAGCUGAAACUUAAAGGAAUUGACGGAAGGGCACCACCAGGAGUGGAGCCUGCGGCUUAAUUUGACUCAACACGGGGAAACUCACCCGGGCCGGACACCGCGAGGAUUGACAGAUCGACAGCUCUUUCUUGAUUCGGUGGAUGGUGGUGCAUGGCCGUUCUUAGUUCGUGGAGCGAUUAGUCUGGUUUAUUCCGAUAACGAGCGAGACUGUAGCCUGGUAAAUAGUGGCGCAUUGCUCGUGCGCGCCACUUCUUAGAGGGAUGGGCGGCUCCCAGCCGCAAGAAACUGAGCAAUAACAGGUCUGUGAUGCCCUUAGAUGUCCGGGGCUGCACGCGCGCUACACUGGCGAAGGCAGCGUGCCUGUCCUGCCGCGAAGGCGGUGGGUAAUACCAUGGAAAAUUCGCCGUGACUUGGGAUCGCAGAUUGCAAUUAUUCUCCGUGAACGAGGAAUUCCAAGUAAGUGCGAGUCAUCAGCUCGCGUUGAUUACGUCCCUGCCCUUUGUACACACCGCCCGUCGCUG